GACGAACGCUGGCGGCGGGCUUAACACAUGCAAGUCGAACGGAAAGGCCCUGCUUUUGUGGGGUGCUCGAGUGGCGAACGGGUGAGUAACACGUGAGUAACCUGCCCUUGACUUUGGGAUAACUUCAGGAAACUGGGGCUAAUAUCGGAUAGGAGAUCCUGCUGCAUGGAGGGGGUUGGAAAGUUUCGGCGGGUGGGGCUGGACUCGCGGCUUACCGGCUUGUUGGUGGGGUAGGGGCUUACCAAGGCUUUGACGGGUAGCCGGCCUGGGAGGGUGACCGGCCACAUUGGGACUGAGGUACGGCCCAGACGCCUACGGGAGGCAGCAGUGGCGAAUAUUACACAAUGGGCCGAAGCCUGAUGCAGCAGCGCCGCGUUCGUGAUGACGGCCUUCGGGUUGUAAACCGCUUUCGCCUGUGACGAAGCUUGAGUGACGGUAAUGGGUAAAGAAGCACCGGCUAACUACGUG
RNAcentral lists this ribosomal RNA (468 nucleotides) under uncultured bacterium. RNAcentral describes it as "partial 16S ribosomal RNA". It matches the Rfam family "Bacterial small subunit ribosomal RNA", at positions 28 to 507 of the family's 1533-position model. The record is from RNAcentral.